RNAcentral lists this long non-coding RNA (213 nucleotides) under Elaeis guineensis (African oil palm). Its description in RNAcentral is "long non-coding RNA (EGUI_LNC078292)". Lineage: Eukaryota; Viridiplantae; Streptophyta; Magnoliopsida; Arecales; Arecaceae. The record is from RNAcentral.
CAAAAAAAAAAAAAAAAAAAAUCAGAGGAUGAGGAAGACUCCUAGCCGGAGUCUUCUUCCUUCACGAUUCCGGCAAAAUCGGACUCAAAGAGUCCGGCUAGGGUAGGAAACCUCCACUAUAAGAUCCCCCGUCCUCUCUUAGGAAAUUACAAUAAAAAUUUCGAAGUAAAUCAAGGGAUUUGAGGGAUUUUUCUCAAAGAUUUUCGUGGUGGU